RNAcentral lists this ribosomal RNA (661 nucleotides) under Coniferiporia sulphurascens. RNAcentral's name for it is "eukaryotic LSU rRNA". It matches the Rfam family "Eukaryotic large subunit ribosomal RNA", at positions 23 to 664 of the family's 3401-position model. Lineage: Eukaryota; Fungi; Basidiomycota; Agaricomycetes; Hymenochaetales; Hymenochaetaceae. The record is from RNAcentral.
ACCCGCUGAACUUAAGCAUAUCAAUAAGCGGAGGAAAAGAAACUAACAAGGAUUCCCCUAGUAACUGCGAGUGAAGCGGGAAAAGCUCAAAUUUAAAAUCUGGCGGUUUUGCCGUCCGAGUUGUAAUCUGGAGAAGCGUUUUCCGCGUCGGACCGUGUACAAGUCUCUUGGAACAGAGCGUCAUAGAGGGUGAGAAUCCCGUCCAUGACACGGACUCCCGAUGCUUUGUGAUACGCUCUCGAAGAGUCGAGUUGUUUGGGAAUGCAGCUCAAAAUGGGUGGUAAAUUCCAUCUAAAGCUAAAUAUUGGCGAGAGACCGAUAGCGAACAAGUACCGUGAGGGAAAGAUGAAAAGCACUUUGGAAAGAGAGUUAAACAGUACGUGAAAUUGUUGAAAGGGAAACGCUUGAAGUCAGUCGCGUCUUACGGGACUCAGCCUUGCCUCGGCUUGGUGUACUUCCUGUAGGACGGGUCAACAUCGAUUUUGACCGGCGGACAAAGGGGAUGGGAAUGUGGCAAUCCUCGGAUUGUGUUAUAGCCCUCUUCCGUAUACGCCGGUUGGGAUCGAGGACCGCAGCGCGCCUUUAUGGCCGGGGGCUUGCCCCACGUACCGCGCUUAGGAUGUUGGCAUAAUGGCUUUAAGCGACCCGUCUUGAAACACGG